This is a non-coding RNA of Elaeis guineensis (African oil palm), 2579 nucleotides long. NCBI's taxonomy places the organism in Eukaryota, Viridiplantae, Streptophyta, Magnoliopsida, Arecales, Arecaceae. The record is from RefSeq and is a predicted model, not a curated record.
UAUAGAAUUUUGUUAAUUAUUUUAUUUAUGUUGACUUUUGUAUCUUAGGCGAACGCGUGUACAUGCACUCCAACUUCCUAUCUUCGCAAGGGGAAGUCGAUUGAGUGCCCGACGGCGGACUCGAGCCCGAAAAAAAAAAAAAGGGGAAUCCUAGGAAGAAGCGGAUGACGUCCUUACGUACGAUCAGAUUUUGACGGAUGUCCACCCGUGUGCGUAUAGAUUUUAUGCGGAUUUACCUCCGCACAGAGAUAUUAUGAGUUGAGCUGCGCAAUUAUAUGAAAUUUUAUUCCGUUGACUGCUGUCCCUAUAAUUAUUUCUAUACGGAUGUUCGUCAGCACGACUACUAUAUACGCGCGUCCGCAGCUGAGCGCUGUCCAGGAGAAUAAUUGUAUAUUCGCAAGACAUCCGUAUACGACUCUGCUGGGAACGGAGUCCGCAUAUAUUCCUCAUGAGGUGAAAUCAAAGAAAUUUCUCGCGCUCGUCGCCGCUUCUCUUUAUAAUGAAGUUUCCGCCGGUAAAAUGAGCCCAAAAUUACUACGGAGGGGAGGGAGAGAUGAAAGGGGAGAGGCCGAAGCUUACCCUCGAAGACUACGUCGCUUUCUUCAACAACAAGCAUGGGAGGAGUGGUCUCACCAUCGCUCAACUCAACCAGAUCGUCCUCAUGCACGGAUUCGUCAAGCUGCACCGGUGCCAAAAGGCGCACAUCCUGAUGGCCCUGCGCUCGCUGGAGCUGAUGCGGCCGGACCGAUCGACACUGCGGCACCUCCCGCCGGUCACUGGAGCGGCGCUGUCGCUGGAGGAUGUGAAGCGGGACAUUGAGUCCCUCGGUUGGCAGGAGUGCCCCGUGGCCUCGGUGUUGAGUGUGGGUGAAACGGCGGCGAUGGAGGCCGUGCCGAUCUCGUCCUCCCCCGACCUCAGCCGCUCCACUCCCGCCACCGACCACCAGAAGAAGGCGACAGGAAAUGCCGAAGGGAAGAGGAAGCGGAUCUCGAUCGAUGCUUCUCUCUCAUCCUUUAUCGAUGGCUAGGGGAUGCGUUUUGUUUGCCGUUUUCCGUUUCCAUUUCUGUUACUUUGUUCUCUGAUUCUACCCAUGUUAUCCACUGCUAUUUCCGAUGAUUGAUUGGUAUGGCCUACCACGAAAUAUUUUGUCCCGAUUAUUGAUUUUGCGAAAAAAAGUGGUUGUGAAUUUGUUGCACGUGUACAUGUGCAAAACUUCGUCGUAGUCCAUAUUCGCAUGCUAGAAUCGUGAGGUUUUGAUGGAUGGCUGUACAAAUAAAACGCAGAGGAAGAAACCGUCUGAUCAACGACUAACUGCCCGCACACGCUAUAACCUGUAACAAAGGAUCAAAUAGUCUCAAGCAUAAGCUUGGAACCGUCUGAUCAACGUAGGCAAACGGAGUGAUUUCUCUACCAGAUGUCAUAUGGAAACAGAAGACGGCACCGCGGCACACCGCUCUAAGACUAUAUAAUGCAUGUACGCCUAGAAGAGCCAAAACACAUCCAGUCGAGAGAGAGAUAGAUGAAGAGUGGGACGAAGAUUACGCUGGAGCAGUACCUCAAUUUCUACGAGGAUCCAUGGCGGGCCAACCUAUUGCGCGCCCAUCUCGAUCAGAUCAUUGUCAUGCAUGGCUUCAUCAAACUGCACAACUUUCCCAAGGAUCUUGUACAGCGAUACUUGGGUUCCAUUGAGCUGAUUCCGCCGACGAGGUCGACUCUGGAUGAGGAUAUCUCGUCCGGCGCGCUCCUGACGGUGGCGGAGGUGGCGGAGGACCUCGCCGCCCUCGGCUGGCAUGAGUGCACAGUCCGCUCCCUUCGGACCCUCAAGCCCGCGGCGGAGCUCGAGCACUUCACGGCCGUCGAGGCGGAUCUCCCCUUUAUCGCCGCCUCAUCCACCGCCGACCAACUUCCCCGCCCGCAACCUCGACCCCGUCGCUGCCGCCUACGUCGACCCUCUAGGGCUCCCCCCGCCGACUUCGUGAUCAUGGGCAGGCGGCCAAGGUCCAAGAGAAAGCGCGUCUCCGUCAACGCCCUCACCGCCGCCGACCUGUUCGCUACCUCCUCCCCGCGCACCGCGUACUCGAUUCCUCCGCCGCCGUCAUCUCCGCCUCCGCCGACUCCUCCACCGCCGUUAUCCCCGCCUCCGCGGACGCCUCCACCGCCGUCAUCUCCGCCUCCGGGCACACCAUCGUCCACGCCCCCGAUGACUCUGCCUCUCUGGUAGCCUUCGUACGGUGCGAGCUGUGGAGUGUGGAGGAUUGCUUAACACUGGAACCGAUGCCGUCUUGACCGUCCAAUACGGUUCGAGACAUCCUUUUUGCCCUUCUUGCCGAAGAGUGAUUUUCCCCUUUUCUUUUUCCUUGUGGGCAGUGAGCGGGCUCCAUGGGGUGGCAGGUGCGGCCUGCUUAAUGUUUGUUCGUACGCUUCUUUACUCCGCUGGAUCCAAGCUGUGCCCCUUUAGUUGGAAUGUGAUUACGAUGACACUUUUGUUUUCUUUUCUUGAGACCUUUUUUUGGUUUUCUUUUCCGAGACUUAAAGAAUCAAUUAUGUGAAUGAUACCUACGUUUGUGCCGUUAUACUAA